This 448-nucleotide ribosomal RNA is filed under the name uncultured bacterium. RNAcentral's name for it is "bacterial SSU rRNA". It matches the Rfam family "Bacterial small subunit ribosomal RNA", at positions 328 to 792 of the family's 1533-position model. The record is from RNAcentral.
CUGCCAGACUCCUACGGGAGGCAGCAGUGGGGAAUAUUGCGCAAUGGGGGCAACCCUGACGCAGCAACGCCGCGUGAUUGAAGAAGGCCUUCGGGUUGUAAAGAUCUUUAAUCAGGGACGAAAAAUGACGGUACCUGAAGAAUAAGCUCCGGCUAACUACGUGCCAGCAGCCGCGGUAAUACGUAGGGAGCAAGCGUUAUCCGGAUUUACUGGGUGUAAAGGGCGUGUAGGCGGGCUUGUAAGUCAGAAGUGAAAUCUGGGGGCUUAACCCCCAAACUGCUUUUGAAACUGCGGGUCUUGAGUGAUGGAGAGGCAGGCGGAAUUCCCAGUGUAGCGGUGAAAUGCGUAGAUAUUGGGAGGAACACCAGUGGCGAAGGCGGCCUGCCGCAGCGUUACUGACGCUGAAGCUCGAAAGCGCGGGUAUCGAACAGGAUUAGAUACCCCCGUA